GACGAACGCUGGCGGCGUGCUUAACACAUGCAAGUCGAGCGGUAAGGCCCUUUCGGGGGUACACGAGCGGCGAACGGGUGAGUAACACGUGAGCAAUCUGCCCUUCACUUCGGGAUAACCACCGGAAACGGUGGCUAAUACCGGAUAUGACCAUCGGUUGCAUGACCUGGUGGUGGAAAGUUCUGGCGGUGGAGGAUGAGCUCGCGGCCUAUCAGCUUGUUGGUGGGGUAAUGGCCUACC
This 240-nucleotide ribosomal RNA is filed under the name Nocardioides sp. Its description in RNAcentral is "partial 16S ribosomal RNA". It matches the Rfam family "Bacterial small subunit ribosomal RNA", at positions 28 to 269 of the family's 1533-position model. Lineage: Bacteria; Bacillati; Actinomycetota; Actinomycetes; Propionibacteriales; Nocardioidaceae. The record is from RNAcentral.